GAGUCACUAAAUAUAUGUAAAAAAUCUAAAAAAUGCAUGAUUUUUUCAUUCUAAUUACUUCACGCAUCCCAUAUCAUGAUUAAUAAUGUGGAUUUUCAUUUUGAAAGGUCCACCAUUGAUUUUCAUUGGAAAGUAUUUAGGGCCAAAUGGACUACAAUUUAUUUUAUCUAACUUUCUCUAAAUAUAUCCGCAUUUGUAGACUUAAUUACUAAAAUGGUCCCUAAGGUCUGGAGGUAAAAUUAUUUUAGUCCCCAAC
This 256-nucleotide long non-coding RNA is filed under the name Elaeis guineensis (African oil palm). RNAcentral's name for it is "long non-coding RNA (EGUI_LNC034138)". The record is from RNAcentral. Lineage: Eukaryota; Viridiplantae; Streptophyta; Magnoliopsida; Arecales; Arecaceae.